GACGUAGGGUCCAAGCGUUGUCCGGAUUUACUGGGCGUAAAGAGCGCGUAGGCGGUCUAUUAAGUGAGAAGUGAAAUCUCCAGGGCUCAACCCGGAAACUGCUUUUCAUACUGAUAGACCUGAGGGAUGCAGAGGUUUGUGGAAUUCCUGGUGUAACGGUGAAAUGUGUUGAUAUCAGGAGGAACACCCAUGGCGAAGGCAGCAAACUGGGCAUCAUCUGACGCUGAGGCGCGAAAGCGUGGGUAGCAAACAGG
This 254-nucleotide ribosomal RNA is filed under the name uncultured bacterium. RNAcentral's name for it is "partial 16S ribosomal RNA". It matches the Rfam family "Bacterial small subunit ribosomal RNA", at positions 524 to 776 of the family's 1533-position model. The record is from RNAcentral.